RNAcentral lists this unclassified non-coding RNA (421 nucleotides) under soil metagenome. RNAcentral describes it as "partial contains 5.8S ribosomal RNA, internal transcribed spacer 2, and large subunit ribosomal RNA". The stretch from base 1 to 120 matches the Rfam family "5.8S ribosomal RNA", at positions 35 to 154 of the family's 154-position model. The record is from RNAcentral.
GAUGAAGAACGUAGCGAAAUGCGAUAAGUAAUGUGAAUUGCAGAUUUCAGUGAAUCAUCGAAUCUUUGAACGCACCUUGCGCCUUGUGGUAUUCCACAAGACAUGCCCGUUUGAGUAUCAUUAAAUCAUCAACUCUAAAACCUUUGUGGUUUUUUUAGAGCUUGGUCUUGAGGGUUUUGCAGGCUUUUUUUUUUCGAGUCUGCUCCCUUUAAAUGCAUUAGCGAGACUUCCCUAUGCUGAACCGUCUCUUUGACGUGAUAAUUAUCUGCGUCGAAUUUUGGUUCUCGUUGGGCUUGCUUCUAAUCGUCUGUUAAAGACAAAACGGAUUUGGGUGCAUAUAUGCGCCUUUUUCCAAAACCUUUUUUGAUCUCAAAUCGGGUAGGACUACCCGCUGAACUUAAGCAUAUCAAUAAGCGGAGGA